Molecule: non-coding RNA, 31 nt
Filed under: Mus musculus (house mouse)
Lineage: Eukaryota; Metazoa; Chordata; Mammalia; Rodentia; Muridae
Source: RNAcentral
UGUCACUAAAGACCAGGUAGCCUGGGAUGGA